Molecule: ribosomal RNA, 425 nt
Filed under: bacterium
Lineage: Bacteria
Description: partial 16S ribosomal RNA
Rfam family: Bacterial small subunit ribosomal RNA
Source: RNAcentral
UGGGGAAUAUUGCACAAUGGGCGCAAGCCUGAUGCAGCGACGCCGCGUGAGGGAUGGAGGCCUUCGGGUUGUAAACCUCUUUCGCCAGUGAAGCAGGCCAUCUUCUUUGUGGGGUGGUUGACGGUAGCUGGAUAAGAAGCGCCGGCUAACUACGUGCCAGCAGCCGCGGUAAUACGUAGGGCGCGAGCGUUGUCCGGAAUUAUUGGGCGUAAAGAGCUCGUAGGCGGCUGGUCGCGUCUGUCGUGAAAUCCCCUGGCUUAACUGGGGGCUUGCGGUGGGUACGGGCCGGCUUGAGUGCGGUAGGGGAGACUGGAAUUCCUGGUGUAGCGGUGGAAUGCGCAGAUAUCAGGAGGAACACCGGUGGCGAAGGCGGGUCUCUGGGACGUUACUGACGCUGAGGAGCGAAAGCGUGGGGAGCGAACAGG